Oncorhynchus kisutch (coho salmon) is the source of this 1279-nucleotide long non-coding RNA. RefSeq lists it as uncharacterized. NCBI's taxonomy places the organism in Eukaryota, Metazoa, Chordata, Actinopteri, Salmoniformes, Salmonidae. The transcript is spliced from 3 exons. The record is from RefSeq and is a predicted model, not a curated record.
UUGUGCAAUGGCUGAUGUCUGAGUGAUGUCUGAGUGAUGUCUGAGUGAUGUCUGAGUGAUGUCUGAGUGAUGUCUGAGUGAUGUCUGAGUGAUGUCUGAGUGAUGUCUGAGUGAUGUCUGAGCUUUGGUGUGUUUUAAACUGCGUGUGUUCAUUGUAAUCCCUAUCAACAUGUUAAGAGCACCAACUGGCUGUGUUGAACAGUGUUGGGAACACCACAACUCUCAGAUGCGACGACCUUUUGCCUACAGAAUGGACUCAUUUUCCCUGAGGUUGCCUUAACCGCAUGAUCGACCUGGCUAUGACCCAAGAACUGUUGUACCUAGACCGGUGCGGCCUUUCAAAGCUCCCUGGUCCUGUCGCAUCUGAGAGUUGUGGUGUUGUCCCAGUGUUCAGCCUUCUGAUCCGAACUCCUAUAAAAGGAUUCGGAAGACUGCUGCUUCCCCCUUCAUUCCUCAGACUCCUGAACAGGCUGGGUGUGUUCCUGCUGGAGUACCUUACCCUAGUUUACUUCCACUACCUCCCCUUUCAGUCUCCAAGUAAGUUCCAGGCAGGGCUUCUCUCAGAUUGAAUGUCUGAAGACCAACGGUUCCCACUUCCUGAGGGUGCAGUGGCGGCAGGUUCUAUUCCAGCCCCACUCCCUGCUACAGCAGCCCCACCCUGAGUUGUUAGACCAGAGCCUAGCCAGGAAGGGCUUGAGGCUAAUUAUGGUGAGCUGUUCAUCACUGAUCCCUGCUGGCACCAUCAGCCAUUUCAGAACCUGCUAUGAGCAUGGGAAUGACCAAUGUAACUCGGCCAGCUUCAUCUGGUACCAUCCUACUGUCACAUACAAACCGCUGUUUCCUGAACCCAGUGAUACCAAGGUAAAGAGGACUCUAGCUCUGCCAAGGGUCAGGUUGGCUCCAGUCCUUCCCAGCAGAGCCAGGGAGUAACUAUGGUUUUCAUGACAGUACCAUCAUGAAACCACAGGUAUAUAUUUUUAAAGCCAUUUUCUGUGCAGUAUAAUAAACUAAAGCAUGACUAACUUGUUCUGGGUGUCUGAUGCUCCCCAGGUUGUAGCUGGUUCCAGUUCUUCUCAGGUCAUCUCUAGUUCUGACCCUCAGAACCUUUGACAGGAUGUUCUAGACCCGUGGUCCCCUGGCUUAAUCAGUGCUCUCUGGAAUGAGUCAGAACACCAUCCAUCGACACUAACCUGCAUUCCUAUGUUUUCAUGACUUAAUAAAUGAUACAAUGUUUCUUUUUUGUCUAUUGACUAAAGAACUGAUUGGCUUUCUACAGUUU